Molecule: ribosomal RNA, 250 nt
Filed under: uncultured bacterium
Lineage: Bacteria
Description: partial 16S ribosomal RNA
Rfam family: Bacterial small subunit ribosomal RNA
Source: RNAcentral
UACGGAGGGGGCGAGCGUUAUUCGGAAUUAUUGGGCGUAAAGGGCGCGUAGGCGGCUAUUCAAGUCAAAGGUGAAAUCCCUCGGCUCAACUGAGGAACUGCCUUUGAAACUGGAUGGCUUGAGUCCGGGAGGGGGUAGCGGAAUUCCCAGUGUAGCGGUGAAAUGCGUAGAUAUUGGGAGGAACACCAGUGGCGAAGGCGGCUACCUGGACCGGAACUGACGCUGAUGCGCGAAAGCGUGGGUAGCAAAC